Molecule: transfer RNA, 72 nt
Filed under: Steroidobacter denitrificans
Lineage: Bacteria; Pseudomonadati; Pseudomonadota; Gammaproteobacteria; Steroidobacterales; Steroidobacteraceae
Rfam family: tRNA
About the family: Transfer RNA (tRNA) molecules are approximately 80 nucleotides in length. Their secondary structure includes four short double-helical elements and three loops (D, anti-codon, and T loops).
Source: Rfam by way of RNAcentral
GGGCGGUUAGCUCAGUGGUAGAGCACUACCUUGACAUGGUAGGGGUCACAGGUUCAAUCCCUGUACCGCCCA